CACAGCGAUUUGCUCACUAAAUCAUCAUCAGCGGUAUUUGGAGGGCAUAAGGACUUCUUUGAGCCAUGUGGCCUUUGGAAAGUCACAUUUCCACCCUGGGUCCCCAGCUUCCUCAUCUGUGAGAUGCAUCUAAUUAGAGCGCCUGGACCGGAGGAAGUCCUCAGUGCACAGCCGCUGAGUCACCCAAGAAGAAAGCGUUCUAAGGAGUCAUGGCCUGACACGUAAUGCUGGCAACCUGACUACUAGACAAGGCCUGGUAACGGGCUUAGGGAAGACAGAGAUAGAUCUCCCAUCUGCUGGUUCACUCCCCAGAUGCCCACAGCAGCCAGGGCUGGGCCAGGUGGAAGCCAGGAGCUGGGGCCCAACUGCUUGAGCCAUCACUGUUGCCUCGCGGGUCGGUUUGCUGGACGUAGGAACACAGGGAGCGCCUCGGUCUCUACCAUUAAGUUUGUUGGAGGUACCAGCCGAUGCCAUGAGACCGGAAGCCGCUGGGUAUCGAACAAGCAGUCCGUGAAUGCAAGCUGAAUGCAGGCGUGUUCAGACUUUAUGUUUCUAGAGCAGUUCCAGGUUCGCAGCAAAACUGAGCAGAAGGUGCAGACUCUUCCCAUAUAUGCUUUCUCAACACGUGCACAGCCUCCGCCACCAACAACCUCUGCCAGAGCGGUGCCUCCGCUACAACUGACGAAGCUACAGGACACACAGCAUUGUCACCCAGCCCCCAGUUCACGUUGUGUUCACUCUUGGUGCAUAGACUACAGCGCAGGACAGGUGCAUCCUGACAUCUAUCCACCAUGAGAGAGUCCCAGGGGACGGUUUCACUGCCCUAAAAAUCCUGUGCUCCCCCCAGUCAUCCUUACCUGCCCUGGGCCCUGGAAACCAGUGACAGUCUCAGAGUCUCCACACUUCUGCUUUCCCAGAAGGUCAGAGCUCUGGAGCCCUACAGUAUGGAGCCUUUUCGGAAUACAAUCACUUAGCGGUGUGUAUUCAAGGUUCCUCCCUGCCUUUUCACGGCUUCAAAGCUGCUCUCUGUUUAGGGCUGAGUAAUGCCCUAGGCCGUAGGUAGACUGCCGAGGACUUAUCCAUUCACCUAUUGAAGGGCCCCAUGGUAGAGUCAAGUUUGGGUAAUGAUGUAAGAAUAAAGCUGCUAUAAACAUCUGUGGCCAGGGGCUGGCGCUGUGGCACAAUGGGUUAAACCAUGGCCUGCAGUGCUGGCAUUCCUUAUGGGGGCUGGUUGAGUCCUGGCUGCUCCACUUCUGAUCUAGUUCCCCCCAGCUAAUACACCUAGGAAAGCAGCAGAAGAUGGCCUACCUCCCUGGGCUCCUGUACCCAUGUGGAAGACUUGGAAGAAACUCUUGGCUCCUGGCUAUGGCCUGGCCCAGCCCUAGCUGUUGCGACCAUUUGGGGAGUAAGUGAGCAGAUGGAAGAUCUCUCUUUGUCUCUCUUUC
Long non-coding RNA from Oryctolagus cuniculus (rabbit), 1445 nucleotides. RefSeq lists it as uncharacterized. NCBI's taxonomy places the organism in Eukaryota, Metazoa, Chordata, Mammalia, Lagomorpha, Leporidae. The record is from RefSeq and is a predicted model, not a curated record.